UCCGCCCCGGGCGCGCCCAGUGCCAGGCGGCCGGCUUAUCUGGCCCCAGAGCUCCCGGGGCGCGGGGGGAGAGGCCCCUCGGUGCAGGGGGUGGGGGCUCCAGAUAAACAGGCCCCCAGCCCGGCGCGGCAGGGCGGGGUGCGGGGGGCUCGGGCUGUGCCCCCGACGCCUGGGGCGUGGCGCGAUGGCAGUGGGGGCGGGGAGCGCCGUGCGCACUGGCGAUGCGGGCGUGGGGCGCGCUGCCCGCGCGGGUGGGAGGCCGGCGGCGAGCGGAGCGCGUGGGGACCCCUGCCCCGCACCCCCACUCCGCGGCCGAGCCCCUGCGCCUCGCCGGCCUCAGUUUUCCCAGCCUGCGCAAGGGACCGCAGCCUUUGCCAGCACCCGGCCGGCCGGAGCGCGCCAGGGUCCCCGCGGCGACCUGCCCUCCCGCGGUUACAUAAAGCGGCUGCCGGGACGGAGCGCGGGGAAGGGGCUGGCGGGGGCGGGAGCCGCGGGCCGAGGCUGUCUUCCCGGCUUCCCGGCUCCCCACCCGGCUGUGGGUCACUGGGCGGGACGGGCCCGGGCCGGACUGCCGGGCCCUGCGUCCUGCUGCCUCCCGGCUCCGAGGGGCGGAGGUGGGCAGCGGGGAGGCGUCGGCGCAGCUCAACUUUAUUAUUUUUUGUCGUCUGUCUUCUCCUACUUCCUCCCUGGUCGUGGGAGAGGUCCGGCGUUGCAGGAGGAGGAAGGAGAGGAGGGGACAAGUGGUGGGACGGCGUGCCGGCCGGCCGGCUGCUCGGCGCGCACAUAUUAUUGUGAACGCCACAGUCUUCUGCGGAGGCCCUAGAGCCGCGGCUGGCGGGAAAUGGACCUGGGUCUGCUCUGUGACUUCGGGGUACCCCCCCCAUACACCCCAACACGGGACUUUAUUGCUCUUUUUGCUCAGCAGAUUAAAAAGCGCCUUUCAACACCCAGACGGGUUGAAUUGGUUUUUGUAAUAAUCACUUGGCUUCCAGGGGAACCCCGGGGAGGCCCCCAGAGGGGAAGUGAUGGCCCCAGGACCUGCAGCAGCGAAACCAGCCCGGAGUAGGUGGGAAGGGAAGGAGGGAGGCGCCAUGGGUCCGAGGAGGGCGGAACCGGG
This 1117-nucleotide long non-coding RNA is filed under the name Cavia porcellus (domestic guinea pig). Its description in RNAcentral is "lncRNA (ENSCPOG00000040553.1)". Lineage: Eukaryota; Metazoa; Chordata; Mammalia; Rodentia; Caviidae. The record is from RNAcentral.